Molecule: ribosomal RNA, 120 nt
Filed under: Pinus massoniana
Lineage: Eukaryota; Viridiplantae; Streptophyta; Pinopsida; Pinales; Pinaceae
Source: RNAcentral
GGGUGCGAUCAUACCAGCGUUAAUGCACCGGAUCCCAUCAGAACUCCGCAGUUAAGCGCACUUGGGCUAGAGUAGUACUGGGAUGGGUGACCUCCCGGGAAGUCCUAGUGUUGCACCCUC